UACGAAGGGAGCUAGCGUUGUUCGGAAUCACUGGGCGUAAAGGGCACGUAGGCGGAUGUGUCAGUCAGGGGUGAAAUCCCGGAGCUCAACUUCGGAACUGCCUUUGAUACUGCACGUCUUGAGUCCGAUAGAGGUGGGUGGAAUUCCUAGUGUAGAGGUGAAAUUCGUAGAUAUUAGGAAGAACACCGGUGGCGAAGGCGGCCCACUGGAUCGGUACUGACGCUGAGGUGCGAAAGCGUGGGGAGCAAACAGG
RNAcentral lists this ribosomal RNA (253 nucleotides) under uncultured bacterium. RNAcentral's name for it is "partial 16S ribosomal RNA". It matches the Rfam family "Bacterial small subunit ribosomal RNA", at positions 524 to 776 of the family's 1533-position model. The record is from RNAcentral.